This 447-nucleotide ribosomal RNA is filed under the name uncultured bacterium. RNAcentral describes it as "bacterial SSU rRNA". It matches the Rfam family "Bacterial small subunit ribosomal RNA", at positions 338 to 795 of the family's 1533-position model. The record is from RNAcentral.
CCUACGGGAGGCAGCAGUGGGGAAUAUUGCACAAUGGGCGCAAGCCUGAUGCAGCGACGCCGCGUGGGGGAUGACGGCCUUCGGGUUGUAAACUCCUUUCGCUAGGGACGAAGCUUUUUGUGACGGUACCUAGAUAAGAAGCACCGGCUAACUACGUGCCAGCAGCCGCGGUAAUACGUAGGGUGCGAGCGUUGUCCGGAAUUACUGGGCGUAAAGGGCUCGUAGGUGGUUUGUCGCGUCGUCUGUGAAAUUCCGGGGCUUAACUCCGGGCGUGCAGGCGAUACGGGCAUAACUUGAGUACUGUAGGGGUAACUGGAAUUCCUGGUGUAGCGGUGAAAUGCGCAGAUAUCAGGAGGAACACCGAUGGCGAAGGCAGGUUACUGGGCAGUUACUGACGCUGAGGAGCGAAAGCAUGGGUAGCGAACAGGAUUAGAUACCCUAGUAGUC